This 496-nucleotide ribosomal RNA is filed under the name uncultured bacterium. RNAcentral describes it as "partial 16S ribosomal RNA". It matches the Rfam family "Bacterial small subunit ribosomal RNA", at positions 28 to 507 of the family's 1533-position model. The record is from RNAcentral.
GAUGAACGCUGGCGGCGUGCCUAAUACAUGCAAGUCGAGCGAACAGGCGAGGAGCUUGCUCCUCUGACGUUAGCGGCGGACGGGUGAGUAACACGUGGAUAACCUACCUAUAAGACUGGGAUAACUUCGGGAAACCGGAGCUAAUACCGGAUAAUAUAUUGAACCGCAUGGUUCAAUAGUGAAAGACGGUUUUGCUGUCACUUAUAGAUGGAUCCGCGCCGCAUUAGCUAGUUGGUAAGGUAACGGCUUACCAAGGCAACGAUGCGUAGCCGACCUGAGAGGGUGAUCGGCCACACUGGAACUGAGACACGGUCCAGACUCCUACGGGAGGCAGCAGUAGGGAAUCUUCCGCAAUGGGCGAAAGCCUGACGGAGCAACGCCGCGUGAGUGAUGAGGUCUUCGGAUCGUAAAACUCUGUUAUUAGGGAAGAACAAAUGUGUAAGUAACUAUGCACGUCUUGACGGUACCUAAUCAGAAAGCCACGGCUAACUACGUG